Molecule: long non-coding RNA, 13708 nt
Organism: Falco peregrinus (peregrine falcon)
Lineage: Eukaryota; Metazoa; Chordata; Aves; Falconiformes; Falconidae
Exons: 3
Source: RefSeq, a predicted model, not a curated record
CAGACACGCUUCCGCACCCACGCGCGAACUACGGCUCCCGGCAGGCAGCGCGGCCGCCGGGCCCCGCGCACCUCAGGCGGCGGGACGCGCGGGGCAUGCUGGGUGCUGCAGUCCCCCUGCGCGGGGAGCAUGGCGGCGCGGCCCUGCCCGAGCGGCUCGCUGGGGGCCCCGCGCUGCGCUCCGCGGCUUCCCCAGGCGGGAGACGGAGGGCCGUGUACUGCCCCCGGGCGGAGGCAGCGGCCUCGGGCCUGCGGCCAGGUCCGGUGCCGGUGAGCCCUCACGGGCGCGGCCCCGCUGCUCCCUGCCCGCAGGGAGCAGCCGGAUUGUGCGUGCACCUCCCCCGCGGGAGCCCGUGAGCUGCUUCUCGCCCGCCGCAGCCCUCUUCAGGCACAUGACGGGAGGCUCCGUGCCAUGUGCCAGGCCCUGUGCAGCGUGCUGAGGAGCGACGGCCACUACAAGCAUCCCCGGGAAUGCUCAACUACUUAAGCAUCCCUAGUACUUGUGUAGCAAGUACCACAGAUGUUCGUGCCUCGGUGGCACUCCCAGGGUCAGUGUGACUGGACCCAAGGGCUCAGAGCAGCAGGCACAUGGGGCUUCACAACAGCUCCUUCCCAGAGAGUGUUUGCCUUGCUAGCAGCCAGGAUUUUGACAGGGAGAAGCCUGACAGCCCACAGUCUGCAGGGAGUCUAUAAACAGCAGGUUCUCCCGAGGUUUUUCCUCCUAGCAUGUCAGUAGAGAUACCUUAACACAAGAACAGCGUGGGCUGGUUGGGAAUUUGGCCUGUAAGACAGUGCUGUGAACUUCAUGAUGGGAUUGGGUUGGGAGGCAGCCACUAUCAGCGACAACCAGGGAUAGGGAAAUUCUUGAGUUGCCAUGCAUCUUUUACCAGGUUUUUUAACAGGCAUAGUGACACACUGCAUGUUCUCAUAAGUUUUCUAGAUCCCUUUCUCAUACGAUGAACUGAAGGAAGCCACUUUUUGGGAAGCCUCAAGGUUACAUAGUAAAGGAGGCUGUUAACUGCCCUCCACUCAUUUCCUGCAGAAGUUGAAAGGGUGGAUUGAUAAUGUUCUGUUCAGGGACAGCAGGCUGAGGCCUCCCUCAGGACUGCAAAGGGAAAGAGAUAGCCUCAAAGACCACGAGAAUUCAUCAGGAAUUGGCCCCAGGACUGACCCCCGGCCAAACCGCUGGUCUUGGGAGACACAUGAAGCCUUCUGACAAAUGGGGUGUUGGGAUGAUUAAGAGAUGACUUGAAGACUCAGGAAGAGAUGCUGCAGCCUCCUGCCCCUGGAGCACGGUGAAAUAAAGGUGAGUUCACUCAGAUCCUAGCUCUGUGUCGCCUACCUGUUUAAUCUCUCAUGUGCCUGCCUAGGGAUGGACUACGGUGAACUUGUAUAGCCUUUUCCAUCUUAAAUUACUAAAAGGCUAAGUAAACCUGCUGUGAGAAGAAGGAAGAACCUAUGUAAAUGUUUAGGUUCCUAAGUACAGGUUUAAAUCUUAUUGAAGUCCAUAGAAUUUAAAGUACGUGCUUAAAUGUUUUGCUGAAUAGGGAUAUGUUGCUGAAUCGUGGCCAAGACUUCUGAAGUUGACAUACUGUUCCUCAUGAAAUUACUGAUGUGCUCAGUAUCAACCCUGCACUUAAAUGCAUUGUUAAAGGGGAACAGGCUUUUGCAGGGCUUCUGUUUGUUCUCUACAAGAGCAUCUGGCUGAUCAGGGAUUCAGAAUAAAGUUGAUGAGUAAAACUGAUAGAAAAUAAAAAGCCUAACCAGAGCAGGAAAUUGUGGGAUGAGCCAGGGCAAGAAUUUUCUAGACAACUAAGCUGCUAUUGACAACUUAGAGUUGUUCAGUACACUCUGCUGUGCUGUUUCCUCUCGUUUGGAAAUUUGUUUUCCAGCAAACAAAAAAGAGAUCAGGAAUUUUAUUGGAAAUGUAUCAUCUUCAUUGUUAUAAAUCAGGGGUCCUCAAACUACAGCCUGUGGGCUGGAUACAGCCCCCCAGGGUCCUCAAUCCGGCCCCCGGUAUUUACAGAACCCUCCCGCCUCCCCACCAGGGGUUGGGGGGGGAAACCAAGCAGCCACAGAUGACUGCCUGCCACCUCAUCUGCACGCCGGCCCCCUGUUUAAAAGGUUUGAGGACCCCUGUUAUACAUUGUCUGAUUUCCUUCCAUUUGUGUCCGUCACCUGAGGAUAUGCCCAAAUGUUUACAUCGGCAGCAGGCUAAAACUCAUGGUGUGAACAGGAAACAAAGGAGUUUAACACUGUCUGUCACUGCAUAAUAAUUUCCAGUACCCUUUUCUAACUUUCUUUUUCUGUCUUCCACCACUUUGCAACAAACCCUCCGGUCCAGCCAUGUGUCAAACCUGCAAUGUACCCUGAUGCUCCUGCAGCAAACUGCGGGUCAACGUAUCUGUUUGCAGUUAAGCAUAUAUAUGCUGACAGGAUUUGCUGGUUGUGGCUGGAGUGAUCAGCAGUGAUGAGAUUAAACCAAAAUUUUUGAACAAAACAUCGAUGAGACUUUAGACAUCAAAGAUAGUCUUAAACAACUGCCUCUGAACUUCAAAGAAGAUCAGGUUUAGGUUCAAACAUUGCACCCUAUAGCUGUUCAAAUGAAAAUCCACAGUGAGGUUUGUGCCUGUCGUUCCUUAUCGGAAACACGAGCCUCAACAGUGUGGCAGCAUGCCUUCCCCUUCUGUGGCACGGCAUUAUCCUUUGCCCUCGGUUUCUCUCCUUCUUGGCAUUGGUGGCUUCCUGGAGGUCAGACACCAAGAAAAAAUUGUUGGGCGUCGAUUUCUGAAUCCCAGCCAUUCUUACGUGUGCAGGUAAGUAGAGAGCAAACCCCCAAGUUAAAGCAUUAAGUAAACAACACACUGAGGAGCGCUGGGGGGUUGCUGCUGCCGGCCGCCCUGCUCCUGCCGAGUGCCACCGCAGCCACCGCUGCCACGGUCCCCACUCGCCCCCUGGCCCGCAGUGCUUCUGAAAAAGAGGAAUGGGAAAAAUGCUCUUCAAAUGACGGCAAGCCAAGCCGUUGUCCGCUGGGUAAAACAUGAGGCUCCAUCUGAUCCCUCUUUUCAUUGCGCCCAGCUCUGUGCUAGAGUGCUUUUUGUUGCUUUCAGUAGCUUUCCUUUGCCAACAAAUAACAGGCGUUAAGGAUAGAAAACAAUAAAAUUACGUGAGGAGAGAACAACAAUCAGUACACAAAGAUAAACAUCAGCAAUAAGCACUUUCAGCUGCCAGCCCUACAACAUGUAUAAAUACAGAGGGGUGGGGGGAGGGGAGGGAACAGCAGCAGUGAGUGCAGAUCCAAGGGACGGUGUUCAGGCUCCUGGCAGGGCCUGGGGAAAGCCCACAUGGUUCAAGAGUACUGGAACUACAAAUAGUUUAGGCAGGAGAGCCCACCGCUCCCAAAUGCCACAUGACUGCAUGUCCCCUUGGCUUCCUGCAGCUGAAAAUUGAGCUGUAGGGUUAAUGUGGUGUGUCCAACAGCCAGGAAGCAAAGGUGGCAUACGUGCCAGAAAACUGACCCUCUGAGAGCAAAAGAGGAAAAAAAGAUAUUUUUUUCCUUUCUCUAUGAUAUUGAAGUUUAGUCUACAAAUAGAAUAGCAUGGUUUGUGUUUAUAGGGGAAGAGGAGCUUUGCUAGGUACUUGCUAGAGACGUUUUUCACUGUCUAGUAUUCAUUUCUAGAUGGCAGGUCUCAGCUUUGCCAUUCUCCUCCCAGUCUCAAUGCUGCCCAGCCCAAAUCGCAAGUUGCUAUUAUUUUGUGAAGGACAACUUUGAAUCUGGUUAAAAGAAUGUCACCUCUUGCCACAGACUGCUUGGAGGAAAGCAGAGCUUUCUGCCUGGCGCUGCUUUGAGUCCUGGGGUGUCGGAGGUGGUCCAGCAGGGGGGACCGUGAUGGGCUGGGUGCAGGUGAAUGGUGAGGGGCACACGCCGUGUUCGGUUUCCCAAGUGGCUCUGUGGCUGGCAGCCAGGUGGCCCCUGCAGCCAGAAGCAGAGCCUCUGCACUACUUCUACAUUCUCCUUUUCUUUUUUUCUCUUACCUGCUGACAUUAAAACUGCAGACCGUUUCAGCUGAACUUUACACACAUAGGAAGUGCGGCUGGCAACAGAUAUUCUCUGGGGUACAAAACCCUACAAACAACUGCUCUCAGAAGUAAAAGUUUUAAAACACUGGUGUUUUAACUGCUUCCCUGCUAGUAAAACCGAUGGGCAUUCAGUUUCUAAUACCACUCUCCCCUCCUUUCUUCCAAAGUUUCAGCCCAGGCGCCAUGCUACCAUUUUGCAGCUGCCAAAGACCAUUUUGAACUGCUGAAUUUAUUAAAAGGAUUAAGUGAAGUAGCUACUACAAUGAGAAGCCAUUUGAUUUAGUGUCCAAGGAGCUCCUUUCCAGGCAGAUACAGGCUUGGUGUCAGUGGAGGGGCACUGCGGCUGCACAAGUCAGCUGUGCUCAGCCACGAGGACCACUGCAGGUGGGGUGGGGCAGACACGGAGAUCCUAUUGCCCUCAAACACACCAAAUAGGUAUUUCCUAUUUUCCCAACAUCUGUGAAACUCAGAGGAAAAACUGAUGAACCAUCAUCCAUGUGACAGGGGAUUUGUCAUGUGCAGACUGUGACUUUAGGUACAACUUGCAUGGAACAACAGGAGGGUUUCAUCUGAUUCAAGGAAUCACGUGCUAUGGAAAAGCAUUACAGAUUCUCCAAGUCAGAGCCAUCCUCCCCCAUCUCAGAUUGUUGCUUUGAUAAAGAGGGAUGGAUACAAACCUUGGAACAAACAAAACCUACUAUUUACUUUAAGGAAUACUAAUAUGAAAUGGAUAAAAUACCUCCUGAUUAUAUUCAAGGACUGUCAUAAUGAGAAAAUAUUUUCAGCUUUGAUUAAAUAGAAAUGGUGCUUUUCAGUGCUUGAGGCAGACACAAGUAAGCUUGCACAGCAGCAAAUCGGAUAGCAGUUUUAAAAUACCUUAAAUGUGGUCAUUGUUGUCUGUAGAGCUCCUUUGAAUAUGUUUCUUUAUGUCUGAAAUGAGGCUUUUAUAGAUUUUUUCUUUUUUUCCUAUUGUUUUUCCAAUUUUUACCAAUUCUAUUUUCAAGCAGAGAGCUCGGAGAAGUGACUUGUUUAGAGUCACAUAAUAGAUUAGUGGCAGAGAUGUAGAAAAAACAUCCCAGUCCACUGAUCUCCAGGCCUAAACCACCUUUCUUGGUCACUCCUUGGUGGUGUUACAGCCUCCUAGCUUGUGCAUUUUGCCUGUUUUUCUCCAACGCUUUGUACUAAAGUUACACUAAGCACUGAGGAACAAAACCAGAAGUUACUUCACAUAUUGAUUUGUCUUUUUAAACUUGAAAUUGCUUUAGUCAACUCUUCAGAAUGUCUAUUGUUUCUUUCUUAGCCUACUGACGAGAUUUUUCAUCUAAUCCAGUCUCCCAGUUUUAGCAGAAGCCAGUGGCAAAAGCAAUACCAAUGUUAAAUGGAUUGUUAUAAACUGCAGGAUGCAGUUCUAUUCCUGCACAAAAAACUGCCCAUCACUUAACCUCUCUGUGGCUGCCUGGUGUAGUACAGCAACACCUGAGCUAGCUUUAAAUUAGCUAGGUGUGACAGCAUUAGCACUUGAACUGCAACAGCACGGGGCUCAGCACCGGCUGGGAAGAUUAUGUUCAGUAUUGCAUGGAGCUCUCAAUACUUGCAGUGAAAGAAACAGCAAAGUAGUAUCUCCAUGUUAUAAAACACUGUCCUCAAAAUCUCAUUGUACUUAGUUCUGCUAGACAAAACUGCUGGAUGCAUACAUCGCAUUCGUUUCCUUUUUGCAUCUGGAAAUGGUGAAGUUAGUACAGUGACAAACUGGCCGUGAAACCGAUAGUCUGGGGCUGCAGAAAGCCAGCAUGCACCGCCCUUUCUUUCAGGUCAUAAUUAGUAUGAGACUCUAGGACAAGCCCGUACUGAGUAAUGCACAUGUGAGGAUGCUGAAAAUACUCAGCUCUGCCUCGUCCUUUGCUCUGCACCCAUGUUGAGCGUCACUCAGCUUAACCAUAUGGAGCCCAACCCAAAGCCCUUUAUUGCCAGGCAGCAGGAAUGACCCCCACACAAGGAAUCUCAUCAAAAUUUUCAAGCAUCAGAUUAACAUUCAGUUUGAUGCUCCCUUAGCUGUAUUUUGCAUUUUUUUCUUUUCUUUAGGGAGAGGCAGGAUGUCCACAAGCAGGCUUAGUCCACCUUCAAGAAUCAAAGAGAAACCAGCACAAGGUUUAGCAACCACCUCAAGAAGAAAGACCAACAGUAGCCCAUGUUUGAUAGUCUCCUUGCACACUCUAAUAUGUCUUCUAUAGCAUAUCAGGAUGAUUAAUGAAAUCUAAGCAUGGCUGGCUGUCAAUAGACCAUUUGUAAACAAGUUAACAAUAGCUUCAGUUUUCCCAAGUGAACUUUUAAAUAAAUGACUCCUCCUUUCAGUGAAAUAAGUAAAUAAACAAACCGAGCUGACAAUAGGCAUCUUUUUGAAACACAGGAUGGAAAAGAGGAUUACAUUUUUGUCAGAUACACUUUUUGCCACUGGGAGGGAAAGCAGAAUCUCUCUUUCUCUCUGCCAAAAUACCCUGUUUAAAUGCUGCUGAGAUGCAUGAUUUAACAAAGUUGUUUCAUCCCCAUCAGGGAAAACUCUUAUCUGUACUGGAGGUCAUAGUAACUCCUUGAAAAGAAAAUAGACAUAAUGUUUUCAAGCUGUGAGAAAACACAUCUAGUAAUUUUUUACUGGCUCAUCAAGACAGUUUAAUACUGAGGUGAUAAUGAAAUGACCUCAUAACUCUUGCUCUUGGGUUAUGACAGGCCAGUCUGGUAAAUUGAAUAGUUCUGCUAUCACAUGGGAAACAAGUCCUGCUUUAUAUUAGCUGGAAAGAAACACUAUUAUUAGUGUUCAAAGUAGCUGCAGUUCUACAGCAAGCAGCAUAUCUCCAGCCAUAAUGCUUUCCAGCAGAAGACGCAGCCUUGGUGAGUCCUUCCCUCUGGCCUUCUAGGUGGUCUUUCCUACAGCGCUAACGAUAGGUCUGUCAGGGUGAUUUAUGGCGUUUGUCCAUGCCUCUGCGUUCUUUGCUCCUCAGCUUUGGGUCAGCUCUGCUCUCCAGCGCUCUGUGGUUGUUCUUCACACAUAUUCAAUAAUCGCACAGACCAAGACUUUGUUUUUCUACAUUUGUGUUUUCUUUCAUUCUGCCUGUCUGAGAGUUUUCAGUAACACUCACCGCCACAGGAUUCUGCUUUUAUUUCAUCUCUCAGCAAAGCUUGAGCUAAUCUGCUGCCACCAACGGUCCUCUCUGCUGCCUCGUAAUUACAAGCGUGCACGCAAACACAAACUAGAAGUAUACAGUCACAUUACUGCUAGUUCUGGGUCCUUGUACCUCUCAUGCUUGAUCCACAUCCCAUUAAAAAUCAGUAGCAAGUUCACCAUAAAUGUCAACAGGAGUUUUAACAAGCCCACUUUAUCUAAUGCGGGGAUGGACUGAAUUCUCCUGUGCGGCACACAGAAGGAAAUACUACAGCACAUAAAGCCCACUUCCAUGCUUCUCCUUGCAUGCAGUCACACUAACGUGAAGUGUUGGUUACCAGUUUUUGAGAGAAAAACACUGAGCAGGGCUGUGGCAGGAAGAAACUCUCUGCUCUGCAUUCCUGGGGCACUUUGGUCACCUCAUCAGAGCGCAAGCGAAAUGCCUCCGGGAUUGAGGUUGCACACUGUUCCAGAAGGCAGGAGCAGCAGCAAGUAAAACGUGUGACAGAGCCUGAGACUCCUCGGGAUGACAACCUCCUCAGGUACUUGUCUCGCUAAUAAUAAAUCACACAUCACUUGCUGCAUAGAUGCCAAAUAGGGCACCACCCAUUCUUUUCUAUUUAGCAACUGUUUCUAUACAGUGCUGAUUUACCUGAUCACAGUUCCAACAACCAAAGCAUCUCUGAGAUCAAUACUUUUAAUAGGAUCGGUAAAAUUUUGGAGGUCUACCUAAGGUGUUCUGAAGUAUUUCCAUUGAAAAAUAUAUAAAAAUAUGAAUUCCAGUGAAGGAACAGGCAGAUAAAAGAAACUCAGACCACUGUGUUAGUUUUAAUUAAAUGGGAGGAAGAAAGGGCUGUUGUAUGUGUUUUACACACAUGGGAUAAAACCCUACAGCUUUUCUGUACGUAAAAAUUCAUCUCAGGCCAAUGUGAGUUUUGCCUUAGUUGCAGAAUCAAGCCCAUAUUUACAUUUCUUUGCAUGCCUGAGCCUAUAUUUCAUGAUUAAAUAAAGUUCCACUGAUUAUGAAGAAUGGAAGCUCUGUCCAAGUCGGAAGCUUCCAGUCCCCAGUGGUUUACCCAGACUGUGGUUUGUCCCCAUCGUUUUAGAAGAGUAAUCAUUUUGAAAAGCAGCAACCAUGAAAACAAGCAAAUGAUAAAACAAACAAACAAAAAUUAGACGAGGAUGCAACUUUCACAGUGUUUUAUCAAAGAUGUUUCACCACCGCCUGAGAGUCAUGGUCUGCAAGAAAUGACACCGAAGUUGCCAGUGGAGCACAAAGCGCAGCUCAUCAAAUUAUGAGCUAAAAUUUCCAGGAAGUGUCUGUGAUUUGUUUCAUAUUUUAACUUGGGCUGCAGGAGAGACAGCAGGAAGUUUAGUUAAUUUGAACAGGAGAAAGCUAUUUCUUAUCAGUAAAAAACCUAGAAGAUACUGUAUUUUCUAAAAUUUUUGAGAUGUCAUAAGACACAAGGAACAAACUGAGGUAAGGCAUCUCUUGCAGUGGGAGUGUGAUAGGGGUAAAUGUAGCUGGCUGAGGUAACCCAAUGUGAAAACGUUGAUUUGGGACCCCAAAGCUGAUGGGAUUUUUCUCUUAGUCUGGGCUUGACUGACAACAGACACCAGAACUUUUCGCUGAGAGAUCCCACCUCAGUUUGUGCCUUUUCCUUACAUAAUCACAUUCUUGUCCUAGAGCCGGGAGAUGUCAAUCCUUCCCUCCUACGAGGUCUAGCUGUGCCAGAGACCCUGGAUAGUCUUCCUACAGCUGGGAACCAGAGACACUCCCUCAUCCCAACACUCUCUGCAUCUCAUAAUAAACAUCUCCUGGCUGGACCCAGGAAGACGACAGGAGAAGCAGGGGGUUCUCCUGUGGAGGACUAGCCAGGUCUGAGCCUGAUUGCUAGCGGCUAGAGGAACAUUAUAAGGGGCACUAAGUUUUUUUGUAGACCUGCUCAGGUGCCACAUUAAACCUUAAGCCCUAACUUCAGUUUUCUUCCAUUUGGGCUCAAUUAGGGAGUGCAGUUGCUCUCAAGUGGGGGUAGCAGGCUGAAAAAUCAAGGACAUUUAUCUCAGAAUUUUCAUAUAGUUUUCUGUUCAGGAGACGCAACAGAUUCGGAUGCCCCGAAGGGUUGACCUCGCUGAAACAAUGUGCUUGAGCAUUGCUGUGACCCUGUAUUUACUAAGCUUUGCUAGCAUUUUGGAGGUGAGAGUGUCUCUUGGCACUGCUGGAAUGAGAGACUUCUGCAGGAUGGUGGGAAGAAGCACAACAAGGAGGCAACAUCCUCUCCCUAGCAGGGAUCACCAGGAACAGCAUCAUUUUGGUUUACAGAAGUCUUUUGGAAUAUAUGGGGGGUGGUGGCGGUUUCUAGCUGACAAUGUCAGUCAUCCAGCUCAGAUGCUGACCUUGAACAUCAGGAAUGGCAGAUCACUGCUUUGAUCCUGUGAUCGAGGCUUUGGAUAAGCUCCUUCUAAAAACACCCCCAGAGAGACAGAAACUGAAUAAAGCUACUGGGUUGAGUAGCACUUACUGUGCUACCUAGAAGCCCUAAACUCUAAACAGUGAUGGACUGCGGAGUAACAUUACUUGACCUUAAACUUUAUGCCCCUGCCUUUUGGAAAUCUCCUUUGCUUAAAUAAUAAUAGUUCGGUUGGGGGAGCUCACACGAUUUAAAAACCUACCUAAAUACAAGUGACAUCAAGCUGUCACAGAAAGUGAUGGAGUACAGUGGCAGGGGACAGGAUUUUCUCUAGCAAAGUCUUAAAAUGGCUGAAACACCUGAGUGACAUCUGUUCUGCUGCCAGUGAACCGGUGUGGGAAGUACUUGAUGGUCCCACAGCCUUAGCAAUGCAUAUAGCCAAACCUGCCUGCUGGGAGGGAGCAAAGGGGGCAUCAACGAAGAGGGCAGGAAAGCUGUGCUGGUCCCUUCCAGCAGCCACCACCGUGGGAACACCUGGCUCCAAGCAGGGUUUGGGCAGGGUAAUGUGAGGUAAAGGUGAGAGCAGGAAUGAAGAGCAGCCUACAGCAAAGGCUUGGAAGGUGCAAGAGAUCAGGGGAUGGUUUGGGAGAGACAGACUGAAAAUGUAUAUGGAUGGUCCAGCCGGAUUUGUCCACAUGGAGGGGUUCAAUCACAUAUCUCUAGUGAGACUGCUGAAGCUGCAGGCCCUUUUCUGCACACCUCUCAGGCACUGCAGUCCAGACAGCACACGGCGCUGCUUGUUUCCUUUUAGCCGGCUGCUGCUGUGAGACGCUAUGCCACCCCAGUGAGACCCACGCUGCUGAGCUCUGGGCUGCGUGCCUCGCUAGUGGCGUGUGAGGUCUUACACCAGCACCAGAGCUGUUCCACCCCGGCAGGCUGGACCCACACAGGUGACGUACCGCUUCCAAGCCCCAGUGAUGUCACUGGGCAGACUAAAAGCAGAAUGUGGUUUGCAAGCAUGGGACCUGCUCACUUUCCCUGUACAUCAACAUGAAAACUACCAUCAACUCGUAUUUGCAGUAUCUGAACCGUAACAACCUGCUGAACUCUGUAUAAUCAGCUCAUGGCAAUGAAAGUCUUGUUCAGCACAUCUGGAAAACACUUCACUGGAGCAGUUUGGUAGCACUCCAUAAUCUCAUUGAGCCCGAUUCCCUACGUUUGCUCCUGUGGUCAGUUGGAAAACACUGAAUGUGGGGGAAAAGGCACUUUUUUCUUUUCUUGUGCCUAAUGUACCAUUGCAUUUAACUUAUCACCUUAUUUUAAGGAGAACCGUGCUCCAGAUGAGAUUGGCGCUUGGGACUCUAAGUCCCCACUUAGGGCUGGAGGAGCUUCUUAUAACUACCAUGGAGGCUAAAUUACCUGCUGUUUUCAGAGAAGCAGGUGCCUGCAAGCACUCCUCUGUGCACAAGAGAGAGAGGUUACUGAGAGGACAAGUAAUAAUAAUGGAACUACUUGUGGGCUGCAUCUGGCAUAUGGAGUCAUAUGAAGUUUUUUGUUCUGCACCUUUCUGAUUUCCAGGCAGCAAUAGCAUUUUCUUCUCUACAAGCAAAUAAUAGUAACAAAACAAAUAAACAAACAAAAUUUAAAAGUUUUCUAUACAAUACAGAUGUUAUUUUUCUGCUUAUAGAACAGAUACAGCUCUGUUUGUGUGGAGCGUAGCAGGUCAUGAGUAAACAAGCUGCAUGAGUGCACAGAAGUGCUGUCUAUCAUGGCCUGAGAGAAAGCUGCCAAGUGUUUAUCUUCCUUCAAGUGACACUACUCUCCAAGAACCAACUGAAAAACAUACAAUACUUAGAGUGGAGUGAGGGAAGAAAAUGCAUUUGCUAUUUGAAGAAAGUAGUUUAGACUGGCUGUGAAAGGUGUCCAAAUGAAAGGGAGCUUGUAAUGAGUUAUCAGGUUUCCAUUGAGCUCUUAACACUCUGAAAAAAUGUUUGAGGAUGCACAGGGUUAUGGCUAUGCAAGACAUUCGCUAUGGAAGAAUUUUAAGCCUCCUGGAAUACCAAAAUCUCAUUGGGAACUAAAAGUCCCAGUGUCCAAGUUCCUUGUUGUGGUGCCUGCUUUGGGCUGGGUAGUAGAGAAUAAUUUACAGUCCAUUCCAAAACUGCUGAGUCUAGACCAUGACUUAAGGGGAGUCUGCGUGGAAACACUAGCCAGCCCUGGCUGUGUUCCUAUUCGGGAUGGAAGAAAGGAAAGCUGUACGAAUCCAAGAGACUGAAUAAAGGUUUCCCUCUAACGUGCAUUUUUGCAGUAUGUCAAGGGUCUGAGUGACUCAUACCAUUCAGCGUUUGCCAUACCAGCAGAUAAGCCAGGCUGUUUGCACCAAGACCUUAAACGUGAACGGCAGGGGUCCUACACCCUGUCUGCAUCUGGCAUGAGCAUUGCCAUAGGUCAGAAAACACUGAACUGAGCCUGAUCACACUGAACACUGAAUGGCUCCAGCUGUGGCCAUGAGCAAGUCUACCCGCUCACUGAAGUUUCCUGGAAUAAAUGCUGGUUGAGAAAGCAACUGUGCUUUCAGAAAUACUUGAUCUUCUUUGUUAUGCUUUGCUUUUUAUGGUUUUGUUAAUGGUCAGAGGAACAAUUAAAUAAGAUCAGAAAUGUAAGGUUAAGUGAGGAUGUGAAAAGAAGGAGGCUCCAGCAGAGGAGGAGGGGAGUAUUGAUUUCUGUGGCUUGUCACAAUGUGAGGAGGGGUCACAAUGAGUCACCUUGUUGUCUAUGGACCAUAAUGAGUGCAACGGGAAAACAACCCUGGGAGAAUACCCAGGAGUCAAUAAGAAAAAAGAGGAGACAUUAAGAUCAAAGGCAAGGAUGGUACCAAAGUAGAGAUGGAAAGAACGGAUGUGGAAACAUGAGAAGUAAAGAAGAAAGGGGAAAAAUGAAGUGGCAGCACUGCAGAAGCAGUAAACUAAGGACAGGAUUUUCAAAAGCGCCUCACUGUCCUAAAAAAUUGUAAUUACUUUCCCACUGAUGCUGGCAACAAAAGUAGAGGUGGCAGAGUCAGGCUAGCAAUGAGCACUUUAAAAAAAAAAUCUCACCUUACAAUUACAUUGCUUUCUUACAACUGCUGCUGCAACAAUGAUGUCAAGUAAUACUCAUGGCUACUAUAUUACAGCCAGUGCCCACUUAGAUGUUCUGGAAAACUUCAGAUGUCUGUGGCGUUAAGACACCCAGCAGCAAUUACAAGGCAGGAACUUUCUGAGGCCCUCAGAGGCUGGUUAGAAAACUCACUUGUUUUAAAUAAUGUAAAAAUAUACAUUAUUGUGGAGCUUAGAAAAAUCUGUUUCUCAGAAUAAUUAAAAUGAGAUCACUAAAAGUCAAAUUGCAUUUCCAAACAGCUUAGGCUUCUAUGUGCUCUUUCAUUAUUCUGGUUUCCAAAGUGCAGCACUCGGGAAAAGUGCCAAGGUUGUGUCUCCACGGACUGGGCUUCUCCCUGUUUAUCAGAGGCGGAUCAGAGAGCAGGGAGUGGCACCGCGUGUCCCAGCGCUGCCCUGCCAGCGAGCCCCAGCCCUGACCUGGAGGGACCAUCGCUGGGCGUGAGAAGGCAGCUCAGGCUCCACACCUUCGAGACCUUUCGCAUCUUUGCUGAGCCUAAUAAGAAAGAAGCCAGUACUGCUGGUGAUGUUUGUGAUGCGUCCUUUUAUCCACAGGAGACUAUUGCUGUUCAUUUCAUUUCACAUUCUGCAUUGAUGAUUGAAUAAAUAGCUAAUGGCAAUUCUUUUGGUCACUACUACCUCGAACUGGGUUCGUUCCAGUGGUUUAGCAUCUCACUUUUUAUCUCUGAACUCAAACAUGCAGCAAGGGAUUUAGGGUCCUAAGACAUAAUUCAUUUGCAUUUCCACAGGGAUCAAAUUUGAAGUCUAACAGAUGAAAUAUUUACUGCUUGGACACAUUGGAAAGCUCAGAUCUUUAUGCUUAUUAGUUCAGAGUGCAAUAAUUAUUAGCUAGAGAGAAGGCUAUCUCUGCAAUCAAAAAGAAAACUAAAUAAAACCCACCUACACAGA